This 1183-nucleotide long non-coding RNA is filed under the name Equus caballus (horse). RNAcentral describes it as "lncRNA (ENSECAG00000046811.1)". The record is from RNAcentral. Lineage: Eukaryota; Metazoa; Chordata; Mammalia; Perissodactyla; Equidae.
AUCAGAUCGGUCCUCCUCCUCCAGCUCUGAGGUCAUUCAGAGAAAGCUGAGGAUAAAAUGCAGCUACUCCCUCUGGAGCAGGCGGCACACGGUGUUCUUGUGCCUGAUAAAUGUACCAAGAACUUCAUUAUCUGAUGAGGAAGGCUCCCGGGCCGCCCACGCCUGCUGCCAAGCCAGCCGAGGGCGUUGCUGCAGGUGGGAAGCAGCGUGGGACGGCUGGGCCCGCCUCCUUGAGCCAAAGCCCCUAAUGAGGCCAGCUCAGGAAGAUUCCUCUGGACCAGUCUCAGCCUCAGCAGGAGGGACGGACAGGGACUUUGGACAAGACUGAGGCUCUGAGAGGUUGUGGAGGUGUCACCCAGCUGGAUAAGGGUCAGAAAUAAGAUGGAAAGUAUUCCGAUCUCUGUAAUGACAAUACCCAGCACUUACACAGAACCUUCUACGGGACCCGCACGGCACAUCUAUUCACUCAUUCAAUCCUCCAGCAACCCACGAGGGCAGGACUGUCGCUGUCUUGGUGCCACACGCGAGGAAACUGAGGCACAGAGAAAGAAGCUCGCCAAAGAUAAGGAAAUGGAGAGCUCUGAGAUAUCACAGGGAGCAAGUGGCAGCCAGGAUUGCCAUCCAGAGCUAUUGAGCUCCAAACUCCACACUCUCCCAGUAUAUGGUGCUGCCACUCUACUGUUGCAUGCUGGAGUGCUCACAGGGAAGAAACAUAAAGAGGAGGGAGCUUGUGUCAAAGCUGCGGGAGAUGAAUGAGCCUAGCUGGGCCAGCGGCGGAGGGGAGGCUGGCUACAGCCGGUGUGUGGCCUCUGCACACACACACCCCGGCAAACAUGUCCUUUGGAAUGUGACCGAGACUCAGGCCGAAGACCCUUGGUGCAGGACUUGCCACCUCCAAACCCUGAUGCCACCACGGCUGGGAGCUCACGUCAACCUGAGGCUGAAGCAUGCCUGUCACAGGGUCUUGGGCUGAGUUCCCACUGGUUGUACCUCUGGGAAGAUGACCCCCAUUCUCUUUGUUAUGUAAGUGGCUCUCUAGGGGCCCGAGGGAAACUACAGCCUGCACAGUGGAGGCAGUGUGGCUGCGCUGUGCCUUCCAUCAAGGUCUGUUCUGGGAGCCCCCCAGGCCACACCUGCCUCCACUGCUGCUCGGCCACCCAGGAGGCCAAGGCAAACAGAUGAC